ACGGAUGAAGAUUACAUGAUAAUGCUUUCUUCACCCUAUAUAAAAUGGUAAGCAAUGAGGGACUAGGUAAGUGUAGCUAAUUAUAAGCUUUUGGCUCUCUAGUAUUCUCUUUCUCCGGUUGAUUUAGGCAUCGGAGGAUCUCUUAUCGGACAACUUUCAGUAAGAGGACUUCAUUUUGUAGGUUUCUUGCUGUUCCGCAUUCGCGCACUACGGCUCGGCUCGCCACCAACCAUCUCACU
This 239-nucleotide long non-coding RNA is filed under the name Elaeis guineensis (African oil palm). RNAcentral describes it as "long non-coding RNA (EGUI_LNC025598)". Lineage: Eukaryota; Viridiplantae; Streptophyta; Magnoliopsida; Arecales; Arecaceae. The record is from RNAcentral.